This is a non-coding RNA of Mirounga angustirostris (Northern elephant seal), 854 nucleotides long. Lineage: Eukaryota; Metazoa; Chordata; Mammalia; Carnivora; Phocidae. The record is from the annotation of a RefSeq genome assembly.
GUUUGCAGGAAGGACCUUUGGUCUUCAUCUUCCCCCCCAAACCCAAGGACACCCUCUCCAUUACCCGAACCCCCGAGGUCACAUGCGUGGUGGUGGACCUGGAAGAACCUGAGGUCCAGAUCAGCUGGUUCGUGGAUGACCAGGAGGUGCACACAGCCAAGACGAAGGUGCCUGAGGAGCAGUUCAACAGCACCUACCGUGUGGUCAGUGUCCUCCCCAUCGUGCACCAGGACUGGCUCAAGGGGAAGGAGUUCAAGUGCAAGGUCAACAGCAAAGCCCUCCCAUCCCCCAUCCAGAGGACCAUCUCCAAGGCCAGAGGGCAGGCCCAUCAGCCCAAUGUGUACGUCCUGGCCCCAUCCCGGGACGAGAUGAACAAGAACACAGUCAGCGUGACCUGCCUGGUCAAAGACUUCUACCCAUCUGAGGUUGAUGUCGAGUGGCAGAGCAAUGGCCAGCAGAUGCCAGAAAGCAGUAUCCGAACAACCCCACCCCAGCUGGAUGCAGAUGGGACCUACUUCCUCUACAGCAAGCUCUCAGUGGACAAGAACCAAUGGCAGCGGGGAGAGGUCUUCAUGUGUGAAGUCAUGCAUGAAGCUCUACACAACCACCACACACAGAAAUCCAUCUCCCAGUCUCCGGAGCUGCUCCUGGACGACAGCUGUGCCGAGGACCAGGAUGGGGAGCUGGACGGGCUGUGGACCACCAUCUCCAUCUUCAUCACCCUCUUCCUGCUCAGCGUGUGCUACAGCGCCACUGUGACCCUCUUCAAGGUGAAGUGGAUCUUCUCCUCGGUGGUGGAGCUGAAGCGCACGAUCGUGCCCGACUAUAGGAACAUGAUCGGGCAGGGGGCCUAG